GAUGAACGCUGGCGGCGUGCCUAAUACAUGCAAGUCGAGCGAACAGAUGAGGAGCUUGCUCCUCUGACGUUAGCGGCGGACGGGUGAGUAACACGUGGAUAACCUACCUAUAAGACUGGGAUAACUUCGGGAAACCGGAGCUAAUACCGGAUAAUAUAUUGAACCGCAUGGUUCAAUAGUGAAAGACGGUUUUGCUGUCACUUAUAGAUGGAUCCGCGCCGCAUUAGCUAGUUGGUAAGGUAACGGCUUACCAAGGCAACGAUGCGUAGCCGACCUGAGAGGGUGAUCGGCCACACUGGAACUGAGACACGGUCCAGACUCCUACGGGAGGCAGCAGUAGGGAAUCUUCCGCGAUGGGCGAAAGCCUGACGGAGCAACGCCGCGUGAGUGAUGAAGGUCUUCGGAUCGUAAAACUCUGUUAUUAGGGAAGAACAAUUUGUAAGUAACUAUGCACGUCUUGACGGUACCUAAUCAGAAAGCCACGGCUAACUACGU
Molecule: ribosomal RNA, 495 nt
Filed under: uncultured bacterium
Lineage: Bacteria
Description: partial 16S ribosomal RNA
Rfam family: Bacterial small subunit ribosomal RNA
Source: RNAcentral